UACGGAGGAUGCGAGCGUUGUCCGGAUUUAUUGGGUUUAAAGGGUGCGUAGGCGGAUCGUUAAGUCAGUGGUCAAAUUGAGGGGCUCAACCCCUUCCCGCCAUUGAAACUGGCGAUCUUGAGUGGAAGAGAAGUAUGCGGAAUGCGUGGUGUAGCGGUGAAAUGCAUAGAUAUCACGCAGAACCCCGAUUGCGAAGGCAGCAUGCCGGCUUCCUACUGACGCUGAAGCACGAAAGCGUGGGGAUCGAACAGG
Molecule: ribosomal RNA, 252 nt
Filed under: uncultured bacterium
Lineage: Bacteria
Description: partial 16S ribosomal RNA
Rfam family: Bacterial small subunit ribosomal RNA
Source: RNAcentral